Molecule: ribosomal RNA, 459 nt
Filed under: uncultured bacterium
Lineage: Bacteria
Description: partial 16S ribosomal RNA
Rfam family: Bacterial small subunit ribosomal RNA
Source: RNAcentral
CCUACGGGCGGCAGCAGUAGGGAAUAUUGGUCAAUGGCCGAGAGGCUGAACCAGCCAAGUCGCGUGAGGGAAGACGGCCCUACGGGUUGUAAACCUCUUUUGUCGGGGAGCAAAGCGAACCACGUGUGGUACAUUGAGAGUACCCGAAGAAAAAGCAUCGGCUAACUCCGUGCCAGCAGCCGCGGUAAUACGGAGGAUGCGAGCGUUAUCCGGAUUUAUGGGGUUUAAAGGGUGCGCAGGCGGAGGUGCAAGUCAGCGGUCAAAUUGCGGGGCUCAACCCCGUACUGCCGUUGAAACUGCAUCCCUUGAGUGCGGGAGAAGUAUGCGGAAUGCGUGGUGUAGCGGUGAAAUGCAUAGAUAUCACGCAGAACUCCGAUUGCGAAGGCAGCAUACCGGCGCGCAACUGACGCUCAUGCACGAAAGCGUGGGUAGCGAACAGGAUUAGAUACCCUAGUAGUC